AUUGAACGCUGGCGGCAGGCCUAACACAUGCAAGUCGAGCGGAUGAAGGGAGCUUGCUCCUGGAUUCAGCGGCGGACGGGUGAGUAAUGCCUAGGAAUCUGCCUGGUAGUGGGGGAUAACGUCCGGAAACGGGCGCUAAUACCGCAUACGUCCUGAGGGAGAAAGUGGGGGAUCUUCGGACCUCACGCUAUCAGAUGAGCCUAGGUCGGAUUAGCUAGUUGGUGGGGUAAAGGCCUACCAAGGCGACGAUCCGUAACUGGUCUGAGAGGAUGAUCAGUCACACUGGAACUGAGACACGGUCCAGACUCCUACGGGAGGCAGCAGUGGGGAAUAUUGGACAAUGGGCGAAAGCCUGAUCCAGCCAUGCCGCGUGUGUGAAGAAGGUCUUCGGAUUGUAAAGCACUUUAAGUUGGGAGGAAGGGCAGUAAGUUAAUACCUUGCUGUUUUGACGGUGCCAACAGAAUAAGCACCGGCUAACUUCGUG
RNAcentral lists this ribosomal RNA (484 nucleotides) under uncultured bacterium. Its description in RNAcentral is "partial 16S ribosomal RNA". It matches the Rfam family "Bacterial small subunit ribosomal RNA", at positions 30 to 507 of the family's 1533-position model. The record is from RNAcentral.